UUUCCGUAGGUGAACCUGCGGAAGGAUCAUUAUUGUAUAACCGAGGUGCGAGGGCUGUCGCUGACCCGAAAGGUCUUGCACGCCCGAGUCCCCUCACACACAUCCAUCUCACCCCUAUGUGCACCACCGCGCGGGUCCCCCUUUGGCUUGUUCGGAGGGGGGCUUACGUUUUCACACAAACUUUGUAUGCAGUGUAGAAUGUAUUCUUUGGUUGUGCGAUCACGCAAUCAAUACAACUUUCAACAACGGAUCUCUUGGCUCUC
This 263-nucleotide unclassified non-coding RNA is filed under the name plant metagenome. RNAcentral's name for it is "partial contains small subunit ribosomal RNA, internal transcribed spacer 1, and 5.8S ribosomal RNA". The record is from RNAcentral.